UGACUUUGUGGCCCGAUGGAUAAGGCGCUGGUCUACGAAACCAGAGAUUCUGGGUUCGAUCCCCAGCAGAGUCGAUUUUUUUUUGCUUUGUUACAUGCUUUAUCUUGAUUAUUAUUAUUCAAUCUAAUGUCUAACAUACAAAUGACUCUGUGGCCCAAUGGAUAAGGCGCUGGUCUACGAAACCAGAGAUUCUGGGUUCGAUCCCCAGCAGAGUCGUUUUUUGUUAUUUUGUCAACUGUCACGUGUUUCAUAUCGUUUUAUUGUCGAAUCGAACACUUUACACACAAAUGACUCUGUGGCCCAAUGGAUAAGGCGCUGGUCUACGAAACCAGAGAUUCUGGGUUCGAUCCCCAGCAGAGUCGU
RNAcentral lists this transfer RNA (363 nucleotides) under Helianthus annuus (common sunflower). RNAcentral describes it as "hypothetical non coding rna". The stretch from base 144 to 216 matches the Rfam family "tRNA". The record is from RNAcentral. Lineage: Eukaryota; Viridiplantae; Streptophyta; Magnoliopsida; Asterales; Asteraceae.